UACGAAGGGGGCUAGCGUUGCUCGGAAUCACUGGGCGUAAAGGGUGCGUAGGCGGGUCUUUAAGUCAGGGGUGAAAUCCUGGAGCUCAACUCCAGAACUGCCUUUGAUACUGAAGAUCUUGAGUUCGGGAGAGGUGAGUGGAACUGCGAGUGUAGAGGUGAAAUUCGUAGAUAUUCGCAAGAACACCAGUGGCGAAGGCGGCUACCUGGCCCAAUACUGACACUCAGGUGCGACAGCGUGGGGAGCAAACAGG
This 253-nucleotide ribosomal RNA is filed under the name uncultured bacterium. RNAcentral describes it as "partial 16S ribosomal RNA". It matches the Rfam family "Bacterial small subunit ribosomal RNA", at positions 524 to 776 of the family's 1533-position model. The record is from RNAcentral.